GCAUUAGUAGUUCAGUGGUAUAGUUCUUACCUUUCAUGCAGGAAACCUGGGUUCAAUUCUCGGCCAAUGCA
This 71-nucleotide transfer RNA is filed under the name Loxodonta africana (African savanna elephant). It matches the Rfam family "tRNA". From Rfam's summary of the family: Transfer RNA (tRNA) molecules are approximately 80 nucleotides in length. The record is from Rfam by way of RNAcentral. Lineage: Eukaryota; Metazoa; Chordata; Mammalia; Proboscidea; Elephantidae.